Molecule: long non-coding RNA, 3513 nt
Organism: Rhinopithecus roxellana (golden snub-nosed monkey)
Lineage: Eukaryota; Metazoa; Chordata; Mammalia; Primates; Cercopithecidae
Exons: 4
Source: RefSeq, a predicted model, not a curated record
UCUAAGCUGACGCCUAAGUCAGGUACAAGCACGAUUGGGUGUAAGCCAGCCUCAGCUUUUACAAAGUGAAAUGCAUAUUCUUUUAUUAGAAAUUACUUUCAUUUCCCUGCCUUCUUAUAAAGAAAGGGCAUCAUAUUGAUUUUUUUACACGGGGGAACCAUCACCUGGGCUGCAGCCCCAGGACGAACUUGUCCCUUCCCUCGGCCUCAAUUUCCUGCUUUGGGAAGUAGGAGCCACGAGGCACAACAUCCACUGCGCCACAAGAGAGAGGUCCAACGCAACGGUCUCUAGGACCUGCCUCCACCCCAGCCUCAGUUUCCCAUCUGUCACAUCGUUCCAUGAUCCCGAAACGAUUACAACUCCCUUAGCAGCCCCAAACCAACCGGAAGCGACAUCUUCCGGUUGCUACAGGUUACGGCGGUUGCUAUGGGCUACGGCGCCUGCGCAGAAACCCCGUCCAGUGACGCGACAGCUUCUGGAGCGCAUGCGUCUCGCCCACCGUGGCCCGGGGUGACUCCCACGAUCCCUGGCGGCUGCGGAGUGGAAAAUGGCGGCCUCCUUGCAGCUUGGGUUACUAGCGUCCACCCAGUCUCGUGCUUUCUCCGGGCGCCCCUAGCUGGCGCCGGCAUCCACAAAAAUAGAUCAGAGUGUCUGCCAGCCAGCUGUGAUCACCUGUGUCUGGGCAAGGGUAGCAGAUGUGACCUGGGAGGCUGCACCGAGUUCUGCUGGGACCUAUGUGGGGAGUGACGGGCUGAAGAGAUGGAAAGACGUCUGACAUUCUGGAGCCCAGGGCUGAGGCUGGACAGCGCAACCUGCCACUGAUGAAUAAAGAGCAAGCUCCAGGCUGUGAAGUGUCUAAUUCUUGCUCCCCUCAGAAGCUGGGACAUGUUGGAGAAAGGUGCACUAUCCCCAUUUCACAGAUGAAGAAACUGAGGCAGACAGGGAGAAGUGAAGUAGCUUGCCAAAACAGUAAAACUACAUUAUAAAUUAGAAACCCAAAUACCAUGCUCCUUCUACUAUCCCAGUUUCCCAGAAGUGGGACAAGCCACAACCGCGCCUUCCAAUAAAAGGGGAACUCCAGAGAUGCUAUGAGAAAAGAGGAACAGACAUCUGCAAUAGAUAUCUGCAACUUCCUUUUCAAAAACACCAUCAGCAUUGCUUUCUCAGGAAGCCACUGCCAGCCUAUUGUGAUAGCUGACACUGAGUUCCUGCAAAUUCUCUAAUUAGGAUCCCAGAUUGGAGGGUCAGCCAGUGGUUAACAUAUAAUGGACACAAAACUGAUUUUAUUGGAAGACUGGGGGUGGGCACUCACCAUGGUUCUAAGCAUUACUCAGAAAAUCCAUAAAAACAUUACAAUUCUGUUGUGUAAGAGUUUAGGAAAAAACGAAAAUCCUGACAAAAUUCCAACCUAAAAAACAGUGUCAACACUUGUAAGUAGGAUGGGGAGGCACAGAUGAAUUGGUAGCGUUAUCACAGCUAUUGGACUAUGUGGACUUUAACAAAGUAAGAAACGGGUGGGGGUUGGGUGGUGGUAUCUUAACAGAGCAGGCAUAGAGACGGAUGUCCUGGGGGCAGAAUGGGUACUAAUGCUGCCUGGACCUGGGAGCUGAGGACUAAGGUAGACAGGAGGGUGGGGACCCGUACCUGCUCCAAGGAACUGGUGCCCCUGAACUGGUGAGCUGGGGUAUGCAUUUAGCUCAUUCGUUUACCAGAAUGCAGUCACCACCUGAUGAAAGAAAUGACUAAUGGCAGGACUUGAACAGUUCUCUAUAAACAAGUACCUGGGAGAGGAACAAGUCUCCAGGCUCCACAAUACCCACCAAACACACUGCCUUUACCCAUUUCAAGCUACACUUCUUACAUGGAACCCAACCCAACCAACCUCAGAGGUAAGGGUGAAAGCAGGCAAUCAACAGCUAUGAUUCUCCAUUCCCUGGCCAGGCAGGGAGCCUUUCCAUCCACCCUCAUGAGACUGCUUGUAACAGAAAUAAGGAAAACAACUCCAAGGCUCAGUAACCCACCCAAGAUCAGAACCACUGAGUGGCAGGGCCUGUGAGCCACAAAGAAGAUUGAGAACCAGAAAGAGCUUCUCUCUGGUCUGUGUUAUUUUAAGAAAAACAUGCCCAUAGGGGCCACCUGGAACCAAGGCUGUGGCACUCUCACCUUCCUUUCUAAUUAAACAUCAACUUCCCAGGAGCAACAACAGCCUGGCCCAGCAGAUGAACUGGAAUCAAUCUAAGCCUUUCCCCUAUGCCAGGGCUGGUGUGGGGUAGGCAUAUGGGCCAGUUUGGGCACUAACACCUACUUAGUUUGGGCACUACUUUACCUGCUGUGAAGUCUACUGGGAUCUUCCAGGAAAGUCCUACCUCAUUAGUAAAAAGAAAAACAAAGACUCAGGAAGAAAGUUCCUGCUCCCCCUGUUGAAUGUUGUCAUGUAAAGAUAAGAUGUUUGGAGCAUGGCAGUCACCCUGUGACUGAGAAGGCCAGGCAUACCACAGGGCGGUCAUUCCAGUGCUCUCAGUCAGCCCCAAACCACUUCCCUCAAGACUCAUGUCCUGAGGUGACUGAAAGUGUGCUCUAAAGGUAAAACUAUGGUAACAGUCAACAGCUCAGUGAUUGCCAGGAGUCAGGGGUAGAAGGAGGGAAGAACAGAUGGAACACAGAGAAUUUUUAGGGCAGUGAAAAUGUUCUGUAUGAUACUAUAUAUAAUGGACACAUGCCAUUAUACACUUGUCCAAACCCACAGAAUGUACACCACGAAGAGUGAAUCCUAAUGCAAACUAUGGAUUUUGGGUAAUCAUGAUGUGUCAAUGCAGGUUCGUCAAUUGCAACACAUGUACCAUUCUAGCGGACAGUGUUGAUAAUAAAGAGGGUACGCAUGUUUGGGACCAGGGGAUAUAUGGGAAAUCUCUGUAUUUACCUCUCAAUUUUGCUGAGAAUCUAAAACUGCUCUUAAUAAAGUCUUACAAAAAUAAAGAAGUCUGCUUUGCCUUACAUUGGGUCUUCAGCUACCUGCAGCCAAAUGAACACAACUGGCGUGAGGUUAACCUUUAUUUGACAUUUAGUGAGCACACUAUAACAUAGUGCUGUCACGAGAGGAAUAACAAAUGGAACUCAACAACCAAAACUACAAAGAGCUAUCCCCGAUCUGUGACAAUGAGAUCAGUGUCUCAUGUCAGGACCCACUACACAUACCCACAUUUUGUCUGUGUAUAAACAAAAUUUACAUGUAAGUUACUACAUGGAAUAUACUUCUCAUUUUUAAAAAGAAUGCUGAUUGUGACCCACUAAAUUUAUUUCAUGAUACAUUAAUGGUUCAUAAUCCACAAUUUGAAAAGUACGGUAUACCUAUAAAAAAAUUAGCCUAUUUCUUGCCAGACUUGAACCCGGCCCUGACCUGUGCAAGACUGUAUUUUGAUUGUAAUGAAAACCACAGGGUACUGAGACAGACUCCCUAAACUUCCUUUUUAUCCCUGAUCAAAUGCAAUGCCAGGCAACCUCCAGACACUACAU